RNAcentral lists this ribosomal RNA (397 nucleotides) under uncultured bacterium. RNAcentral describes it as "partial 16S ribosomal RNA". It matches the Rfam family "Bacterial small subunit ribosomal RNA", at positions 523 to 918 of the family's 1533-position model. The record is from RNAcentral.
AUACGUAGGGGGCGAGCGUUGUCCGGAAUGAUUGGGCGUAAAGGGCGCGUAGGCGGCCCGGUAAGUCUGGAGUGAAAGUCCUGUUUUUAAGAUGGGAAUUGCUUUGGAUACUGUCGGGCUUGAGUGCAGGAGAGGUAAGUGGAAUUCCCAGUGUAGCGGUGAAAUGUGUAGAGAUUGGGAGGAACACCAGUGGCGAAGGCGACUUACUGGACUGUAACUGACGCUGAGGCGCGAAAGUGUGGGGAGCAAACAGGAUUAGAUACCCUGGUAGUCCACACUGUAAACGAUGAAUGCUAGGUGUAGGGGGUAUCGACCCCUUCUGUGCCGCAGUCAACACAAUAAGCAUUCCGCCUGGGGAGUACGGCCGCAAGGUUGAAACUCAAAUGAAUUGACGGGG